RNAcentral lists this ribosomal RNA (463 nucleotides) under uncultured bacterium. RNAcentral's name for it is "bacterial SSU rRNA". It matches the Rfam family "Bacterial small subunit ribosomal RNA", at positions 29 to 507 of the family's 1533-position model. The record is from RNAcentral.
AUUGAACGCUGGCGGAAUGCUUUACACAUGCAAGUCGAACGGCAGCACGGACUUCGGUCUGGUGGCGAGUGGCGAACGGGUGAGUAAUGUAUCGGAACGUGCCCAGUCGUGGGGGAUAACGUAGUGAAAGGAGUGCUAAUACCGCAUAAGCUCCCGGGUUCUAGAGACCUGAGAGAAAAGGGGAAACCCGCUUGUGGAGGAGGCUGCGGCCCAUCAGGUAGUUGGUGCGGUAAUGGCGCACCAAGCCAACGACGGGUAGGGGACCUGAGAGGGUGAUCCCCCACACUGGGACUGAGACACGGCCCAGACUCCUACGGGAGGCAGCAGUGAGGAAUAUUGCCCAAUGGAGGAAACUCUGAGGCAGCGACGCCGCGUGGGUGAUGAAGGCCUUCGGGUCGUAAAGCCCUUUCUGCAUGACGAGAGCGGACGGUAGUGCAGGGAAUAAGUCUCGGCUAACUACGUG